Molecule: microRNA precursor, 66 nt
Filed under: Spodoptera frugiperda (fall armyworm)
Lineage: Eukaryota; Metazoa; Arthropoda; Insecta; Lepidoptera; Noctuidae
Description: partial precursor microRNA 59
Rfam family: mir-67 microRNA precursor family
Source: RNAcentral
ACUCACUCAACCUGGGUGUGAUGUGUGCACUAGUUGCUCGGCCCAUCACAACCUCCUUGAGUGAGC